CCACCAAAACAACGAAAACAACUUGGAUGGCAGGAUUAUGGCCAACAAGGUUCUGAGUAAAGUCAC
Long non-coding RNA from Etheostoma spectabile (orangethroat darter), 66 nucleotides. RefSeq lists it as uncharacterized. The transcript is spliced from 3 exons. Lineage: Eukaryota; Metazoa; Chordata; Actinopteri; Perciformes; Percidae. The record is from RefSeq and is a predicted model, not a curated record.